This 190-nucleotide non-coding RNA is filed under the name Desulfocarbo indianensis. The record is from RNAcentral. Lineage: Bacteria; Pseudomonadati; Thermodesulfobacteriota; Desulfarculia; Desulfarculales; Desulfarculaceae.
ACGACAUAAUCGGGAGCGGGCGCCUCGCAGAGGCCCUGAGGGAAGCCGGUGCGAAUCCGGCGUGGUCCCGCCGCUGUAACCGGGGACGAAAGCCGCCAAUAAGCCACUGCCGACUAAUGAAGACGGUGGGAAGGCGGCGGCCGUAGGAUGAUCCGGAAGCCAGAAGACCUGCCCGCCCCUGCAAGCCGCC